RNAcentral lists this ribosomal RNA (467 nucleotides) under uncultured bacterium. RNAcentral describes it as "bacterial SSU rRNA". It matches the Rfam family "Bacterial small subunit ribosomal RNA", at positions 9 to 521 of the family's 1533-position model. The record is from RNAcentral.
GAGUUUGAUCGUGGCUCAGAGCGAACGCUGGCGGCAGGCCUAACACAUGCAAGUCGAGCGCCCGUAGCAAUACGGGAGCGGCAGACGGGAGAGUAACACGUGGGAACGCGCCCUUCGGUUCGGAAUAACUCAGGGAAACUUGAGCUAAUACCGGAUACGCCCUUACGGGGAAAGAUUUAUUGCCGAAGGAACGGCCCGCGUCCGAUUAGCUUGUUGGUGAGGUAAUGGCUCACCAAGGCGACGAUCGGUAGCUGGUCUGAGAGGAUGACCAGCCUCACUGGGACUGAGACACGGCCCAGACUCCUACGGGAGGCAGCAGUGGGGAAUAUUGGACAAUGGGCGCAAGCCUGAUCCAGCCAUGCCGCGUGGAUGAUGAAGGCCCUAGGGUUGUAAAGUCCUUUUAACGGGGAAGAUAAUGACGGUACCCGUAGAAUAAGCCCGGCUAACUUCGUGCCAGCCGCCGCCGU